RNAcentral lists this ribosomal RNA (482 nucleotides) under uncultured bacterium. RNAcentral describes it as "bacterial SSU rRNA". It matches the Rfam family "Bacterial small subunit ribosomal RNA", at positions 29 to 487 of the family's 1533-position model. The record is from RNAcentral.
AACAAACGCUGGCGGCGUGCCUAACACAUGCAAGUCGUACGAGAAAGUUGGCUUCGGCCGAUGAGUACAGUGGCGCACGGGUGAGUAACGCGUGGAUAAUCUGCCCUUAAGUGUGGAAUAACGUACCGAAAGGUGCGCUAAUACCGCAUAAUGCCUGGCAACAUAAGUUGUCCGGCCAAAGAAGGCCUCUGCUUGCAAGCUUUCGCUAAAGGAUGAGUCCGCGUACCAUUAGCUAGUUGGUGGGGUAACGGCCUACCAAGGCGACGAUGGUUAGCUGGUCUGAGAGGAUGAUCAGCCACACUGGAACUGAGACACGGUCCAGACUCCUACGGGAGGCAGCAGUGAGGAAUAUUGCGCAAUGGGGCAACCCUGACGCAGCAACGCCGCGUGAGUGAGGAAGGUUUUCGGACUGUAGAGCUCUGUCGAGCGGGAAGAAGUGUACCAUGGCUAAUAUCCAUGAUAUUUGACGGUACCGCUAGAGG